This is a long non-coding RNA of Mustela erminea (ermine), 959 nucleotides long. RefSeq lists it as uncharacterized. The transcript is spliced from 3 exons. The record is from RefSeq and is a predicted model, not a curated record. NCBI's taxonomy places the organism in Eukaryota, Metazoa, Chordata, Mammalia, Carnivora, Mustelidae.
GCGCCCCAAGAAUUUGAAUUUCUAACAAGUACCCAGGUGAUACUGAUGCUGCUGGUCCCCCUACCCUGACACAUGGUUUGAGAACUCUUGUCACAUGUGAGAAAUUACAAAUGUGUGCUAUGUUAAUGUUCCGUAUACAUCAAAGGAACUCAUCAGUUAUACAUUGUUUUGAGGAAGUAGACAUAAAAUUUUGGUUCAGAGUUAGGGGGCCCUUACUGGACGUACAAAAGAAAUACUCCUGGAUCCUCAAAGAGGCACCUAAGGGAUUGCCAGUGCCCAGAAAAACCUAAAGACAUCGGUGCAGACCCCUAAUACAACAAGGAAAACCCCACCCAAGCUGGACGUAUGCACUUUUGCUGUUGCCCACAUUUUCAGAAAUGGGACUCCCCAGAGGCAGAGCUUUGGACGGAGAAGAGCAGAGCCUGGGAGCUCUUUGCUGGGAAGGGAUGAGUGAAAGACCGUGGCCAAGAGCUUGCUGGGAACCUGAACCUGUUUCCUUUCCUGGGCGAAGUUAGAAGCCGGACACAGACCAGGCUUCCACCCCUGGCCUCCAGAGUGUCAAUCCUGGGGCCCGCGCCGGGGGCCUGUGCUUUUCAGCAGUGAGAAAACGGCGGUCUGGCCCAGUUCCACUCGGGAGAGGCAGAGGCGACGCUGUGAGGGAGAGACAGAGGGUACCUCUCUGCCCCAAGCAACAGACAUUCAGGAAAGAAAGUGAAACUAACUGGGGGCAUGCAUUCCGCAAACACUCCCUGAAGAAAACGCUGAGGAUUUAAAGAUACGAUGUAAUCCUUGCCUUCAAGAAGCUUCUAGUCUAGUGCAAUGGCAACAGAAUCUCUGGGAGGAAGACCAAGAUGCGUCAGGGCAGGGAGAUGGCCAAGCUGCUGGACUGCCCACCUGAAAAGGGAGGGCUACUCAGAUGCACUAGAAAUGUCACCAUGCCAAGGCAAGCCCUGCUUACC